UUCUUCCUACAGGUCUUCACAUAACACCUCUGAUCCUUCUUCAACAAGAUGUUGAAGAUGUACAUAGAGAUGGCAAAGAAAAGAGUUUGUGGUUUUCCUCAAGACCCCUUCCCUCAGGAAACCCUUGGUCUGAUGAGGAAGAUUUAUAUACUGCCCUCAAUCUGAGGUGGAAACACAGCCCUGCCUCAGGGAGCCCCAGUCUGAAGAGGAGACACAGCCUUGUCCUCAGGGAGCCUCAGCCUGAGGACGAAGACACAGCCCUGUCCUCAGGGAGCUCACAUCUGAUGGAGGGAACACAGCUGCUGUUCCUAGGCACAUCUCAAUCUGAGGGAAACAGGAAAUAAAGAAAACAAUUUAAGAGCUCUCACACAUGCCAAGCAAUAUUUUACCAACUGUGCCCUGUGCCCUGGAGAGAGCCACAGCAAAGUCAGGGUCCAGGCAGAAGAUUCUG
Molecule: long non-coding RNA, 451 nt
Filed under: Ursus maritimus (polar bear)
Lineage: Eukaryota; Metazoa; Chordata; Mammalia; Carnivora; Ursidae
Description: lncRNA (ENSUMAG00000012279.1)
Source: RNAcentral